AGCAUUUCUAGUAUGUGGAAUAUUUUUGUCACCCCACUGUGCUAAUGUGAUUAAAUACUAAUAAUUAUUACUAAAAAAUUCAAUAAUUAAUCAAUAAUAACUAUAUCUUGAUUGAAUUAUAUUGUAAGCGCAGUGCUGGUGUGCAGGAGCUUUAUAUGCCUUGUGGGGGAUGCUGACAUAUUAUAAACUGUUAUGUCUAUAUCAAGCUUUUAGCCAAAUAUAAGCAGAGAUAUUUGUAUCUUUCUUAAAAAUUCAGAUCCUUAGAGAUUAUUUGAGAAAUGGAUCAACAGCUAUUACUACUUGAAGCACUCUAAAUCCUGCAGUGGAAAAAUAUCCCUUAUUUCAUCUUUGAUCACACACUUUGGUUUUCCAGUGCAGAGCAAUGGCCAAGAAAAGGAAAGACUUCCCCGAGUGAAAAAGAAGAUGAAGAUACAAGCUGGUGAUGAUCCAGAGCAGCUGGUCUCAGGAAAUGAAGAAAAACCCUGAUCACCUUUUCCACAGAAACAAGAAUAAAUUGCGACUAGUCUCAAUGGCUGAGAUGGAGAAGCAACACAGCGACACGUUAACCCCGACUGCUGAAGUUCCCUUAUGAACUGAGCAAGUCUAAAAAUCCAAGGAAAAGCUGAGUGUAUUUUAUUUAAAGCUCAGAUGGAACUUGAUGGACUAACAUGCAGGCUGCAUUCAGGACUUUGUCACACUGGUAUAUGAAGAGUGGUAACAAGAGAAAUUGUGCACACACAAUGUGUCACUUGAUGCUUGCUCUUCUCCAGCCUCUGGUGUCACUUUGUAGUAAUUAGUCUUACUAUUGUCUUAUUUGUUGUGAUUUAGGGUGUGUGCGCACAAGCAGAGGUUUUUGUUUGUAACCAUAACCUCGUUUUCAGAGCCUUGUCUAACAUUUAAUGGUCGUGAAAUAUGUCAGACUUUUUCCUCUACUUAAACAGCUAAGAGCAUUUGAACACAGUGGAGAAAAAGGUGUGCAUUAAGGAUUUUGAACUAUGAUGUUUAAGUGUUGUCACUGCUGAGGAUCCUUAUUCACUACACUGCUGUUUACAGUUUAACUUUUCAUCAGAACAAGCACUUCUAAUUGUACUUUGCUCCUCACUGACAAAACAAGUCCAGUAAAUGCACUUUUAUCUUCAAGUUUGGGACAGUAAUCUGUCUUCAUUUAUUUUGUGUUUUAGUUAUCAUAUGGGGAAAAGUUCUGUGGUUAUCUAUCCGUCCUGUUCGCAUAAACCCAAAGUUCAGGAACAUCUUCUUUAGAUCUGUUCAGUUUUAUUUAUGUGGCACGACUUAAACAGUCAAGUAUGUUAUUGUGAGGUAAAGACCCCAAAGAGUUAAUCUCGGACAAAUGUUCACACAAAUGUGAAUUACAUUCACUUCAUUAAUGAAGUGAAUGUAAUUCAGUAAUCAAAUGUGUUUGGCUAUAACUGACUACAUGUGUAUACUGUACCAUAAGUGGACAGACAUGGAUGUAAACCACACCUUAACCAUUUGGCUGAGGCAAAACUACCACAAGGCAGUGAUUCUAACUAAAAGGUACUCUGGAUAUUAUUAAAUGUGAACAUAUCGUUAAAUAUGACA
Molecule: long non-coding RNA, 1581 nt
Organism: Oreochromis niloticus (Nile tilapia)
Lineage: Eukaryota; Metazoa; Chordata; Actinopteri; Cichliformes; Cichlidae
Exons: 2
Source: RefSeq, a predicted model, not a curated record